RNAcentral lists this ribosomal RNA (444 nucleotides) under uncultured bacterium. RNAcentral describes it as "partial 16S ribosomal RNA". It matches the Rfam family "Bacterial small subunit ribosomal RNA", at positions 354 to 796 of the family's 1533-position model. The record is from RNAcentral.
GUGAGGAAUAUUGGGCAAUGGUCGGAAGACUGACCCAGCCAUGCCGCGUGCAGGAAGACGGCCCUCUGGGUUGUAAACUGCUUUUAUCUGGGAAGAAAAAGGCCAUGCGUGGCAAAUUGCCGGUACCAGAUGAAUAAGCACCGGCUAACUCCGUGCCAGCAGCCGCGGUAAUACGGAGGGUGCGAGCGUUGUCCGGAUUUAUUGGGUUUAAAGGGUGCGUAGGCGGCUGAUUAAGUCAGCGGUGAAAGACUUCGGCUUAACCGGAGCAGUGCCGUUGAUACUGGUUGGCUUGAGUGUCGGAGGGGUACAUGGAAUUGAUGGUGUAGCGGUGAAAUGCAUAGAUACCAUCAGGAACACCGAUAGCGAAGGCAUUGUACUGGCCGACAACUGACGCUGAUGCACGAAAGUGUGGGGAUCGAACAGGAUUAGAAACCCGAGUAGUCC